This 496-nucleotide ribosomal RNA is filed under the name uncultured bacterium. RNAcentral's name for it is "partial 16S ribosomal RNA". It matches the Rfam family "Bacterial small subunit ribosomal RNA", at positions 28 to 506 of the family's 1533-position model. The record is from RNAcentral.
GAUGAACGCUGGCGGCGUGCCUAAUACAUGCAAGUCGAGCGAACGGACGAGAAGCUUGCUUCUCUGAUGUUAGCGGCGGACGGGUGGGUAACACGUGGAUAACCUACCUAUAAGACUGGGAUAACUUCGGGAAAACGUAGCUAAUACCGGAUAAUAUUUUGAAACGCAUGGUUCAAAAGUGAAAGACGGUCUUGCUGUCACUUAUAGAUGGUUCCGCGCUGCAUUAGCUAGUUGGUAAGGUAACGGCUUACCAAGGCAACGAUGCAUAGCCGACCUGAGAGGGUGAUCGGCCACACUGGAACUGAGACACGGUCCAGACUCCUACGGGAGGCAGCAGUAGGGAAUCUUCCGCAAUGGGCGAAAGCCUGACGGAGCAACGCCGCGUGAGUGAUGAAGGUCUUCGGAUCGUAAAACUCUGUUAUUAGGGAAGAACAUAUGUGUAAGUAACUGUGCACAUCUUGACGGUACCUAAUCAGAAAGCCACGGCUAACUACGU